AGCUUAACUGACUGAGCCACCCCGGAGCCUCAAGGUCAAGAGUCAACUGAAAGAAAACUGACCAAGUAAAUGCUGAAUCCCUGUCUUAGGAACAUGCUGCAUUUCAGGGUCCUGUGACUUGCUUGCCGCAUGUCAGCAUGGCAGGUGGAGAGGCGGAGGCCCAGCGAGAUCCGGGCCACUUUAAGGCCAC
Lontra canadensis (Northern American river otter) is the source of this 190-nucleotide long non-coding RNA. RefSeq lists it as uncharacterized. The transcript has 3 exons. Lineage: Eukaryota; Metazoa; Chordata; Mammalia; Carnivora; Mustelidae. The record is from RefSeq and is a predicted model, not a curated record.